GUGUCGCUGAUGGAUGGACCCGCGGUGCAUUAGCUAGUUGGUGAGGUAACGGCUCACCAAGGCGACGAUGCAUAGCCGACCUGAGAGGGUGAUCGGCCACAUUGGGACUGAGACACGGCCCAAACUCCUACGGGAGGCAGCAGUAGGGAAUCUUCGGCAAUGGACGAAAGUCUGACCGAGCAACGCCGCGUGAGUGAAGAAGGUUUUCGGAUCGUAAAACUCUGUUGUUAGAGAAGAACAAGGAUGAGAGUAACUGUUCAUCCCUUGACGGUAUCUAACCAGAAAGCCACGGCUAACUACGUGCCAGCAGCCGCGGUAAUACGUAGGUGGCAAGCGUUGUCCGGAUUUAUUGGGCGUAAAGCGAGCGCAGGCGGUUUCUUAAGUCUGAUGUGAAAGCCCCCGGCUCAACCGGGGAGGGUCAUUGGAAACUGGGAGACUUGAGUGCAGAAGAGGAGAGUGGAAUUCCAUGUGUAGCGGUGAAAUGCGUAGAUAUAUGGAGGAACACCAGUGGCGAAGGCGGCUCUCUGGUCUGUAACUGACGCUGAGGCUCGAAAGCGUGGGGAGCAAACAGGAUUAGAUACCCUGGUAGUCCACGCCGU
RNAcentral lists this ribosomal RNA (599 nucleotides) under uncultured bacterium. RNAcentral describes it as "bacterial SSU rRNA". It matches the Rfam family "Bacterial small subunit ribosomal RNA", at positions 212 to 803 of the family's 1533-position model. The record is from RNAcentral.